This 497-nucleotide ribosomal RNA is filed under the name uncultured bacterium. RNAcentral describes it as "partial 16S ribosomal RNA". It matches the Rfam family "Bacterial small subunit ribosomal RNA", at positions 28 to 507 of the family's 1533-position model. The record is from RNAcentral.
GAUGAACGCUGGCGGCGUGCCUAAUACAUGUAAGUCGAGCGAACAGACGAGGAGCUUGCUCCUCUGACGUUAGCGGCGGACGGGUGAGUAACACGUGGAUAACCUACCUAUAAAACUGGGAUAACUUCGGGAAACCGGAGCUAAUACCUGAUAAUAUAUUCAACCGCAUGGUUCAAUAGUGAAAGACGGUUUUGCUGUCACUUAUAGAUGGAUCCGCGCCGCAUUAGCUAGUUGGUAAGGUAACGGCUUACCAAGGCGACGAUGCGUAGCCGACCUGAGAGGGUGAUCGGCCACACGGGAACUGAGACACGGUCCAGACUCCUACGGGAGGCAGCAGUAGGGAAUCUUCCGCCAUGGGCGAAAGCCUGACGGAGCAACGCCGCGUGAGUGAGGAAGGUCUUCGGAUCGUAAAACUCUGUUAUUAGGGAAGAACAAAUGUGUAAGUAACUAUGCACGUCUUGACGGUACCUAAUCAGAAAGCCACGGCUAACUACGUG